AUAAACUGCCACAUUUAAGUUUCUUACUUUUAAUUCUUAUUCUUAAGCUCUUUUUUAUUUUUUUUAUUUUUCUUAAUCUGAUAGGUAAUAUACAAUAUUUAUAAUAUUAAACAAACAAACAUACACAUAUAUAUAUAUAUAUAUAUAUAUAUAUAUAUAUAUAUAUAUAUAUACGUAUUUACAAUUGUUUGUGCUCGUUCUCCAACCCUCUUUAAAAGAAAAAAAAAAAAAAAAAAUGAACAGAUUGAUCAGUAAGCUUAUUUUUUGUAUAUAUCUUUUAAACUUAUGUUUACAUUUAUGUGUUACAAGUGCAUCCGAAAAUGUGGAAAUUGAAAAGAAAGCACAAGCUAGUAGACACUACUUAAGAAAUGGAAUGGGUGAUAAUCCAACCGAAAUUACCGACUUAGUGGUAAAUCCAGUGUUAAGUCCAGCGACAGAACAAGAACAAAAAGAACAGCAAGAAGAAGAACAAGACGAAGAAGAAUAUGGAGAAGAAGAAGAACAAGAACAGGAAGAGCAAGAAGAACAAGAAGAACAAGAACAAGAAGAACAAGAACAAGAUGAAGAAGAAUUAGAACAAGAACUAGAAAACGAACUAGAACAAGAAAUAAACAAAUUUUCACAAGAGGAUGAAAACAAGGAUAUAGACAGUAAAACUAUAAUUGAACCUUCAAUAAAAGAAAAACAAGAACACGAACCCAGCGCUGAAGAUGUUGAAAAUGUGAGUGAAUUAUUUGAACAUUCCAAAACCAUUACAGAUGAAACAAAUAUGUUAUUAACCCAAUUAAAAGCUAAUAUAGAGAAAGAGAAAAAAAAAAUUGAGGCAUUAAAAAAAAAAUUGUAUAAAUUAAAUUUAUUAACAAAAGAUGAUAUUACUCCUUCUCUCUCUCCUUAUGAGGUCGAUGGUAAAAACAUAAUACAUAUAUUAGAAGAAAACAUAAAUAAGUACCUAAAUGAAAUUCAUGCAAAAAAACAACAACUAGAUGAAUUAACAAUUGAAUUAAAUAUGAAACAGAAUGAGAUGGAAGAAAAAAAAAAAAAAAACUGAAAAUGAAGUUACACAACAAGAACAAAAUUUGAAAC
Molecule: long non-coding RNA, 1083 nt
Filed under: Piliocolobus tephrosceles (Ugandan red Colobus)
Lineage: Eukaryota; Metazoa; Chordata; Mammalia; Primates; Cercopithecidae
Description: lncRNA (ENSPTEG00000007019.1)
Source: RNAcentral